UCCCUGGCGGUCCAGUGGUUAGGAGUCUGCACUUUCACUGCAGGGGGCGUGGGUUUGAACCCUGGUCAGGGAA
RNAcentral lists this transfer RNA (73 nucleotides) under Ovis aries (sheep). It matches the Rfam family "tRNA". Rfam says of the family: Transfer RNA (tRNA) molecules are approximately 80 nucleotides in length. Their secondary structure includes four short double-helical elements and three loops (D, anti-codon, and T loops). Lineage: Eukaryota; Metazoa; Chordata; Mammalia; Artiodactyla; Bovidae. The record is from Rfam by way of RNAcentral.